ACCUCCAAUUUAAAAUGCAUUAUUUGGUAAUAGAUGGGAAAUGUGUGUACGUGAAUAUGAAUCAGUAGAUUAAAUGUUCACACACUGCACUGAGACGCUCUCGGUGCUGCAUGGAGCUGCAGACUUGUGCAUUUAGGUUGGUGCUCUUCCUGCUCGUCCACUUCUUUAUCAUUCAGAGUUUCGUAUCCCCUGAUGGAUGUCUUCCUCCUCGAAUGCUCUUCUUCUCUGCUCUGCUGUCUGCAGUUUUCUGGAUGGCUUUGUCUGAAGCCUCCAACCGGCUGAUAUUUGCAUGCUCUUCUUCUGCGGCUUUAAUAAAGGAGCCUGCAGGAAGUGGAUCUGUGUUAGUGGAGACUUGACGUCAUGCAGCAUGCUCUGAUUCUCCUUAUGCAAUGGGAAUAUUUCCACAUGUGACACAUUGGAAAUCAGCAUCAUGAAUAGUUUACUAAUAACUAGAUCUCAAUGGGCCUCAUUCACCAAUAUGUUCCUAAGGUUGUUCCUAGAAAUCGAGUGUAGAUCAGAUUCAUGAAGGGCUCUAAUAGCUCUAACUUGUACACUUUAAAAUGUCUAGAAUGACUGGAAAUAUGUUAUAUAUGUAUUUAUUACACAGCUUAGUUUGGACAUUUUCUGUCUGGAUCUUAAGUUAUCAUAGAAGCGUUAGACGUUAGCGGUUAGCUCGUAGCUCCUGAAUCUUGUGUUUUUAUUAUUCCAGUCAAAUAUGGCCUCGUCAUGCUGGCUCUCGCCUGCUUUUCUCCCAUUCUUUGAACUGGACCAUAAUGCUUUAUAGUUUAUACAAUAACAAUACUCAUUAUAAACAAAUGUUAUAGACAUUUUAACUAAAGGAAAAUGCGAAAACUGAUGAAACUGAGCAAUAAUUUUGGAACUCAAAUAUGUGAAAAUUCUGUUCUUACCAAAAAAAAACAAAUUGAAAAUCUUCAUAAGAAGAAAUUACUUUUUCAAGAACGCUUGGUGAAUGAGGCCAGAUUUUACUAACUGCAUAUUUCUUUAAAUAGUCUUUACUUUUCGUAGCCAAGCAUUUGGAUAUGCUUGCAGUAGCCGGCUCUUUUGAUUCCUUACACCUCUCUUUUGUACAUAAUUGAUUUCCUAUUUCUUUUAUAACUGUUGCUUAUUUUCUUGCCUGAACUCUCUUUGUCUCUCCACAGCCCGGACGAGGACUCGUGUCAGAAAUUCAUCCCUUUUAUCGGAAUGGUGAAAGUCGGCCUCGUGGAGCAAACAUCUGCAGCAUCAGGAGACUCUGAUGA
Long non-coding RNA from Notothenia coriiceps (black rockcod), 1259 nucleotides. RefSeq lists it as uncharacterized. The transcript is spliced from 3 exons. The record is from RefSeq and is a predicted model, not a curated record. Lineage: Eukaryota; Metazoa; Chordata; Actinopteri; Perciformes; Nototheniidae.